Onthophagus taurus is the source of this 7575-nucleotide non-coding RNA. The record is from RefSeq and is a predicted model, not a curated record. Lineage: Eukaryota; Metazoa; Arthropoda; Insecta; Coleoptera; Scarabaeidae.
GAGUCGCGACUUCACUACGUACAAGUGUGCUGUGGCCUUGAUAGGCAGAGCCGCCCUACGCGAACUAAAUAAAAAUGGUGGCCGCCGUGGUCUCCGGAGACAUUUGGACCGAGCAGGGAAACAAUCCGGCCCGAGAACGAAUCUAAAGAAAUUCGGAAACCGUCAAUCGUUCAAGUUCCAGGUGAGGAAUUGUGUAUCAGGGCCGUAAACAUCGCUAUCUGAACCUCGUUCGAUCUCCGUCAUCACGUUGGCCGCGGGCGCCCAAAAAACGACCGUCGUCGCCUCGAUGUUAUGGGUGUGCAUAUCUAUCACAUGAAUUUCAACGUGGAGAAGAUUUUUUUUUAAUCAAGGUAUGCAAUGAUAACCCGAAACAGAACGGCUACAAAUAUGACACCGCCAACGUACUCAUCGUUCGACACUACACGUUUGAUCUCAUUUGUGUUUUGAAAUAUACAAGUUACAACGAAAACGAUCAAAAGUGAAACAAAUUGAAGAAAAAUGUCGAACGACCGACAUAUUGUUCAAGUUUACGUUGGAGCCCUUUCGGCGUACUACGAAGCCCUUUCAGUUGAAGCAAGUAAACAAACAACAGCGGAUGAAAUCGUCUCGUGUAUCGUUGAAAGGCUAUCUUUGAAUGAAAAUCCUCGCGGUACUUAUGAACUUGCUGAAGUCAUCGGGGAUUCUUCUGGACAAGAAUGUAAAGAACGUUGUUUAUUGCCGAAUGAAAGUCCGGUACAGUUAAUGUUAUUAUGGCCGAAAAUGCGCUCGGACAAUUCGUGUUAUCGGUUUUAUUUGCGUGAAAAAGUGAACGAUUACGUAUGGAGGGACAGUUUUGUGAUGGAUCCUCAAUUAAUCAAAGACUAUUUUCAUCGAUUUUUAUACCAACCAAAAGAUAGGGAAUACCCGGAUUUAUGUCAACUACCCGAUUUAAACGAACAAACUUUACUUGACAAUUUAAGAGCUCGAUUUACAGCUGGUCAUAUAUACACGUACGUUGGUUCAAUCUUAAUCGCUGUUAAUCCGUUUAAAUUUUAUCCAAUUUAUAAUCCAAAGUAUGUGAAAUUGUAUCAAAAUCGUCGAUUAGGCCCAAAUUUACCACCUCAUAUUUUCGCAGUAGCCGAUACUGCGUAUCAUUGUAUGUUAAAAGAUCGUAAGAACCAGUGUAUUGUUAUUAGCGGGGAAAGCGGAUCCGGAAAAACAGAAAGCACUAAUUUUUUAUUACACCAUUUAACGGCUUUAUCUCAAAAAGGAACGCACGGCAGUGGAGUUGAACAAACUAUUUUAUCGGCCGGACCUGUUUUAGAAGCCUUUGGAAAUGCGAAAACUGCUCAUAAUAAUAAUUCGAGUCGUUUCGGAAAAUUUAUUCAGGUUAAUUAUAAAGAAAACGGGAUGGUUCAUGGAGCCGUAGUUCAAAAAUAUUUAUUGGAAAAAUCUCGGAUUUGCACUCAAGGUCGAAACGAAAGAAACUAUCAUGUAUUUUAUUACCUUCUCGAAGGAGCCACAGAACAAGAAAAACAAUUAUUACAUUUAAAACCACCUGAUCAAUACAACUAUUUAAAUAUGAGUGGUUGUUACACCCUUGAUAACGUCGAUGAGAGUUACGAAUUUUCCCGAUUAAAACAAUCAAUGGAAAUGGUUGGGUUUACAGCGGAAAAACAACGUAGAUUAUUUUCAGUUCUUUCCGCCGUUCUUCUCCUCGGAAACGUUGAAUUUCAACCAAGAAAAUCAGCUUACCACCACGACGAAGCCGUGGCUGUAAAAAACCCGGAAGUAGUUUCGUUAAUUUCCGAAUUAUUAAAAGUAAAACAAGAAACACUUCUUCAAGCUUUAACUUGUAAAAAAGCCAAAGCUUCCGGUGAAGUUUUAAUCAUUAAUUAUCGACUUCCUGAAGCGAUUGCAAGUCGGGAUGCGAUGGCUAAAUGUUUAUAUGGAGCCCUUUUCGAUUGGAUCGUUCUCCAAGUUAAUCACGCUUUAUUAUCAAAAAAAGAUACUUUGAGGGAACAUCAGGGAAAUUCAAUAGGGGUUUUAGACAUUUUUGGUUUUGAAGAUUUCGGGUUGUGUAAUAGUUUUGAACAAUUGUGUAUUAAUUAUGCUAACGAACAUCUUCAAUACUAUUUUAAUCAACACGUUUUUAAAUACGAACAAGAGGAGUAUCGAAAGGAGGGUAUUCGUUGGACUAACAUUGAUUUUAUGGACAAUACUGGGUGUUUGCAAUUGAUUGAAGGAAAACCAAAUGGGUUAUUGUGUUUAUUGGAUGAUCAAUGCAAUUUUCCUGGUGCAACAAACGAAACCCUCCUUCAAAAAUUCAACACGGUCCAUAAAGAUAGCAAGUUUUACCAAAAACCUCAAAAACGCGAAGGGGCUUUCAUCGUGGUUCAUUACGCCGGAAAGGUUAAAUACCAAGUUUCAGAUAUGCGCGAGAAAAACUUGGAUUUAAUGCGACAAGACAUCGUUGGGGUGUUAAAGAACAGCUCGAUGGCGUUUGUUCGUGAAUUGGUUGGAGCUGAUCCGGUGGCUGUGUUUCGUUGGGCCAUCGUUCGAGCUUUUUUCCGGGCGUAUUUUGCUUUCCAUGAGGCUGGAAGAAAACAUCGCCAAGGAAGAGUUGAUGGGAAUAAGAAUAAUAUUCAACAAAGAUAUAGUAGGAAUCAUGUCCCCAAUGAAAACAUUAUAAGCAAACAAGGCGUUCAGAUGGGCAGUAGCAGACCAACAGGUGGCAGAAAUCCAGAACCCGAUUCAUCUAACAACCACUACCGUUUAUCAUGGCCCCAAUUUUAUCAAAGAACUAGGACUGUAUCGUCGUCGGCCGGUCCCAAUGAUCGAAAAUCCGAGGAGGAGAAACGCCGGAAAGAUUCAGCGGGAAACGCGGCGGCAAAUUCAGCAGCAUUAGAACGAGGGCUUUGCCCCAACGAAGCCCGCGUUAUGCAACGGGCCAAUCAAAUCGUUAUGAAAAACAAAUCAUUCCGACCUCGAGAACGUGCAAAAAAGGGCUUAAAAAAUCUCCAAUCCGUAAAAACGUUAGCUGGAAGAACCGGAUUAACAACCGGAAGUCAACGCACAACCAGAAAGCAAUACUUAACUGUAACAGCCCAAUUUCAACAAUCGUUACAUUCCUUAAUGGAUACCCUAAAUCAAGCAAACCCAUUUUUUAUUCGUUGCAUAAAAUCAAACAGCAACAAAAUUCCGAAUGAAUUCGAUAAUGAAACGGUACAAAGACAAUUAAGAUACACUGGGAUGUUGGAGACGGUUCGAAUUCGACGUGCAGGUUUUAACGUGCGCGUUACAUACGACGAAUUCAUCCAACUUUAUCGAAUUUUAUUACCCAAAGGACUAUUAAGCUCCCAAAUUGACGUGAGAAAUUUCUUGUAUACAUUAAAUUUAAAUAGAGAUAAUUACCAAUUGGGAUGUAGCAAGAUCUUUUUGCGUGAAUCUGAAAAGUAUAAACUCGAUUGUAAAUUGCAUCAACAAAUUAUGGCCAGUAUCGUUACGUUACAACGUUGGUUCCGUGCCACGUUAGAACGACGUCGAUAUUUAAGGAUACGAAACUCUGUUAUCUUGUUACAAUCAUAUUGUCGGAUGUAUUUAGUUCAAAAAUACGUAAGGACCAUUAACGCUGCGAUUAAAAUACAGAAAACAUGGAGGGGGUAUAAAGCGAGAAAUUGGGUGCAAAAACUUAAAAAGGGUUUGAUUGCGUUCCAAGCGGGUUGUCGAGGGUAUUUAGCGAGGAAAAGUUUGAUGGAGGCUAAGAAUCGAAUUUCAAAAACGCAGAAAUUUCUUCCGAAACCUAGUGAUGUUGGAAGCAGUAUUGGAAGUAUGGAUGAUGCAUUUUCAAGCAAAGAAUCGAGUCGGGAGAGAUUAGAUUUCGAUUUGAAGGAUAGGAUGAGAAUUCGGGAUUCGGAUGAGAGUAGUGGAAUAUUAGAAGAUUUGGGUUCGGAAUUAUCACAAUCAAAAUUAUCUUUAAGAUCAACUUUAUCAUUACCAGCUGUUCCAUCAACUCCAAGUCCUUACUUACAAAGAUUUGAAGAUAGAAAAGCGGAAAGCGUUACAUUAGACACACAACGUCGUACUCAGCAAGAAGAAAAAUAUAAAGGCUCCUCAGACUCCUUAAGCUCUCAACGUUCGUUUGAUUCAUCCGAUUUAAUUUCGAUUUUGGGAAAUUAUUCAGUUCCGCACCCCUUAGAAGAUAAUAAAUAUUCGAAAUUUGAAAACACGGACGUUUGGAAACCAAGGAUUCAAAAGCAGCCAGCUUUAACGCAAGUCGCCGCGACUUAUAACGUAACUUCCGGGAGAUGGGACCGAAAUACGGGGGGGUUAGUUAGUUUGCCCCCUGUGAGAAGACCCAGUAGAGAUGCAGCAACCAUCGAUUUUUCCGCUGAAAGAACCCCAACGAAAGCAGAGGAGAUCUUGGGGAAACCAAAAGUACCAUUAAGAAGUCAACGAAAACAACCAAAAAGAAGUCACGUUAGGAGUUUAGGGGAAGAAGUUACCGAUGGAAGUUUAUUAGACAAAAAUGUUGCUUUAAAAACGAUCGAAGAAACUACUCCACCUCAAAGCCAAAAAGAACAAGUUAACAAAUUCAUUCAACACGAGGAAGAAUGGGGAAAACAAUACGUAACUCACACUCCAAAACGUCAAAAAUCGGCGUUAAACUCCUUCGAUUUGCGCCGAAGAAACAGUGAUCCAGCAACAAAAUCAAAUUUAGUUACAGAGCAUCAUCCGGAAGGUGGGGGUUCUUCCCCAAAAUGCCAAGACGAACCCGAAUGGCAAAAUCAAACCACUUUUACAAUGGGGGGACACACAUUUCGAAAAACUAAAACGUUUUCAAAAGAUGAUGCGUGUUCAUUUUGUAACAAUUUAAUAGAUGCUUUUGCAAUGCAAGGGUAUAAAUGCGCGAAUUGCAAAAAAAUUUUCCACACAAAAUGCAUACAAAACAAAAGCGUCCUAAAAAUACCUUGCGAAAACAAAUUAGUCUCCGAAAACAAUAAAUCCGGGCGAAGAAAAUACCGCAAACACUCAAAAGCUCCGUAUGACUUAUCAAAACCCGGUUACACAAACAAAUUUAGCGUAACAAAUACGUCAGAAUUCACCGAUCGAGCCGAUCAAAUAAUAAGCGACACAAAAGAAUUACAAAGAAUGCAAGAUUUUAUCACAAGCAAAAUUUGUAAAAUUGAAACCGACGCCGCGGGGAAACCCAGCGAAGUCGAUCGAGUUUUUAAAUUAGCUUUACGCGAAUUUAAAGACAAUUUAGUUCAAGUUUAUAGCGCCGCAAAUCGCAACUCCGAAGCUUACAGCAUAAAAUACAAAGAUUUAAUAAUGAAUUUCAUCCAAGCGAUGGAAACUGUUUGUCAAAGGGAAAAAACCGAAAACGAUUUCCCCGUAACGAUGGGAGUAAACGCUUUCCGCGGAUUUAUGAACGAAUUUAUGCAAAGUCGACCAGAAGCUGAAAAACCGGGUAAAGUAAAACGAAAAAAAGAGAAAAAACGUAAAGUCGACGAUUUAAUUAAAUAUUACGGGCACACAUUUUUAUUAACAAUAAUAAAUAUCCCAACAGCUUGCGAAAUUUGUAAUUCAUUUUUUAUGUGGCCAUUAGAAAGAGGAUUAGUUUGCCAAUCGUGCAAAUUAACGUGUCACAAAAAAUGUUACACAAGAACGACGAAUUGCGCUAAAGACGAUAGCGUUAAUUCCCAAGACGAUGGGUGGAAAUUAUUUGGGGUUCCAUUAACAACGUUAUUAAACGACGAAUCGACAAUUCCCGUUGUAAUUGAAAGAUUAUUAGCAGCAAUCGAAAUGAGGGGGUUAUACAUAGAAGGGAUUUAUAGAAAAAGCGGUGUUAGUUCGAAAGUAAAAGAGCUUAAAAAUAAAAUGGAAGAAAACCCCGAAAUCGUCGAUUUUGAUAGUUAUCAAAUUCACGUUUUAGCGUCAGUUUUAAAAUCAUUUUUUCGUGAAAUGCCCGAACCUUUACUCACAUUCGAAUGUUACGAGAAUUUUAUAACAGCCGCGCAUAUGGCGGAUCCUCAAGAUCGCGUUUCAACCCUUUACGAUAUCUUAAAAAAAUUACCGAAACCUAAUUUUGAUUUAAUGGAACGUUUAGUUUUUCAUUUAGCAAGAGUUGCGAUACACGAGGAUAGUAAUCGAAUGUCAACGGCUUCUUUAGCGAUCGUUUUCGCACCUUGUAUCUUAAGAACGAACAAAAUUGUUCCCGCCCAAGAUAGUUUACACGACAUCAGCAGUCAAACGCAAUGUAUUGAAACGAUUAUUUCGGAACAAUUAAGAAAGGUAAAAAAUACCCUUGAUGAUAUUGAUACUUUAGAUACGGCGAUGCAAGCUGUAACGAAACGACUGACAUCAUUAAGACGUUCGAAAGUGUAUUCACCCGAAGAGUUAUUACCAUCUGAUGAUCAAACGUCGCCGGGAAAUGUUGAAGAGGAAGAAAAUUUAUUAGAUCAUAUACAAGAGAUACAAAAAGAACAAGAACAUUUAACAUCAACUUUACCGACGUUAUCACAUACAUCUGACGAUGAUAUGUUAUCAACCGAUGGUGAUGGUAGUUUGGAUGAUGUUUCUAGUGUAAGUGAAAAGAAAAGUGGUCAAAGAAGCGGAGGAGGCCCCCCACCGGUUGUAAGAUCAAUUUCAAGUGGCGAUGCCGCAAGACAAUCAUUAAAUCAGAAAUUAAAAAGGCAGUCAUCGUCGGAUGUGAGCGUUAAAAUAGUCGAUGAGGGUGAGGAUGCUCCUAUUAUGAUUCGAGAGGGUUGUUUAAACACGUGUAAUAAAUGUAAAUUUUGUUUUGUUAAUUGUUGUUCUCUCUCUGGGAUCGAAUGAAGCGAAACGAAAAGAUUUUAUUUAACAAACUCUAUAUUCACGUUGAAAAUGAAAAUGUUUUGGAUUGAAAUUAUUGGAUAUAAACCGGAAAACCCUACCAUAAUAAACUACUAUAAACAAAUUACAAAAAAAAAAGAAAAUUCUCAAUACAAGAUAUUUAUUCUUCUAUAUACACAUUAAUUGUUGAUAUAUAAAUAAAAAAAAUGUAUAUUAAUAUAAAGAAGUAAUUGGAUUGGUGCGAAAUUAACUUGGAAGAAAAUGGGAUGGAGUUGGGCUUGAACUUAAAAUGUUAAAAUAAAAUGUUAAGAAUGAUUUAAGGAAGAGCCCGAAAUGUGUAAUGUAAAAAAAAAAGAAAGACUAUAACUGUACGUUGUUUCCUAUAAACAUAUUAUAAAAAUAUAUAAAUUAUUAUUAAAAUAAAAUUUAAUUAACAAUAAGAGAUGCGAGCGAAACGAGAGAGCAAGAAAAAAAACUUAUAUAUUUAAUAAAAUACUAUGUAUAUCUUGAUACAUAUUUAUUAUUACUAUAUAUAUUAUAUACAUAACAUAUACAUUAAAAAAAAUAAAUUAAUAAAUAAAUACGGAGGAAACGUUUAUCAUCAUCAGUGUAAUCUGCAAUAGUAACGAUUAAUUAACUAUACAUAUAAACGUUUUAGAGAUUUGAAUAAAAACCUUCCUCUUCCGAUAAAUUCCAAACUGAAAAUCGUUACGUUUUUCAUUCGGAAAAAAAGUAAAUAAAUAUAAACAUCUGUGAUAUGUA